CUGUGAAUAUUCUUGCUGUCCUGAUUUUGUGAUAAUCAGGGCAGGCUAACCAUUCACUAUAUUAGGACUACACAGUAUCCUCAGACCUAGCUUUUCCCCCUAUGUCUUGUUUUUAAAAUGCUGGUGAUAAAC
This 132-nucleotide small nucleolar RNA is filed under the name Dasypus novemcinctus (nine-banded armadillo). Its description in RNAcentral is "Small nucleolar RNA SNORA72 (ENSDNOG00000033669.1)". It matches the Rfam family "Small nucleolar RNA SNORA72". From Rfam's summary of the family: U72 is a member of the H/ACA class of snoRNAs. The snoRNA gene is located in intron 4 of the ribosomal L30 protein gene in human, mouse and chicken. Lineage: Eukaryota; Metazoa; Chordata; Mammalia; Cingulata; Dasypodidae. The record is from RNAcentral.